Molecule: ribosomal RNA, 492 nt
Filed under: uncultured bacterium
Lineage: Bacteria
Description: partial 16S ribosomal RNA
Rfam family: Bacterial small subunit ribosomal RNA
Source: RNAcentral
AGUGAACGCUGGCGGUAGGCCUAACACAUGCAAGUCGAACGGCAGCACAGUAAGAGCUUGCUCUUACGGGUGGCGAGUGGCGGACGGGUGAGGAAUACAUCGGAAUCUACUUUUUCGUGGGGGAUAACGUAGGGAAACUUACGCUAAUACCGCAUACGACCUACGGGUGAAAGCAGGGGAUCUUCGGACCUUGCGCGAUUGAAUGAGCCGAUGUCGGAUUAGCUAGUUGGCGGGGUAAAGGCCCACCAAGGCGACGAUCCGUAGCUGGUCUGAGAGGAUGAUCAGCCACACUGGAACUGAGACACGGUCCAGACUCCUACAGGAGGCAGCAGUGGGGAAUAUUGGACAAUGGGCGCAAGCCUGAUCCAGCCAUACCGCGUGGGUGAAGAAGGCCUUCGGGUUGUAAAGCCCUUUUGUUGGGAAAGAAAAGCAGCAGGUUAAUACCCCGCUGUUCUGACGGUACCCAAAGAAUAAGCACCGGCUAACCUCGUG